GUAUCAAAAUGUGGCAAGAAUGUCAAACAGUAAGUGCAACACAAGCUAAUUGUCAGAGAUGAACCAUAAAAAAAGGAAAGGCGGUGCCGAAAAGCUCAGAGAAAGCAAAAAAAGGGCUCUAAAAUCAGACGCUGCCAAAUGCAUAAAAUUAACUGAAAUAUUCUCGAAAGGUUUAAAUUCGGCUGCUGCAUCGGAGGACAGUAGCGCGUAGAGGAGAAUGUUUCUGGACCCAGUGCAGAUAGCUCAGCUGCUGCAGCAGAGUCAAGUAUCAUGGAGGACCUUCACCUGAUCCAAGGCCUGUGGGAGAUCCAUAUAACUUCAGCACAAGCGCUUGGAUACAGUAAAAAGUCACAAAUCCAGUGGCGGAUGUUCUUACCGCCUGUUUUUGCUGCUCAGCAUCUGAAAUCUUUGACUUCCAU
Molecule: long non-coding RNA, 419 nt
Organism: Labeo rohita (rohu)
Lineage: Eukaryota; Metazoa; Chordata; Actinopteri; Cypriniformes; Cyprinidae
Exons: 3
Source: RefSeq, a predicted model, not a curated record